AGAACGAACGCUGGCGGCAUGCCUAAUACAUGCAAGUCGAACGAACUCUUCGGAGUUAGUGGCGCACGGGUGCGUAACGCGUGGGAAUCUGCCCCUUGGUUCGGAAUAACAGUUGGAAACGACUGCUAAUACCGGAUGAUGACGAAAGUCCAAAGAUUUAUCGCCAAGGGAUGAGCCCGCGUAGGAUUAGCUAGUUGGUGAGGUAAAGGCUCACCAAGGCAACGAUCCUUAGCUGGUCUGAGAGGAUGAUCAGCCACACUGGGACUGAGACACGGCCCAGACUCCUACGGGAGCAGCAGUAGGGAAUAUGGACAAUGGGCGAAAGCCUGAUCCAGCAAUGCCGCGUGAGCGAUGAAGGCCUUAGGUUGUAAAGCUUCUUUACCCGAGAUGAUAAUGACAGUAGUCGGAA
Molecule: ribosomal RNA, 409 nt
Filed under: uncultured soil bacterium
Lineage: Bacteria
Description: bacterial SSU rRNA
Rfam family: Bacterial small subunit ribosomal RNA
Source: RNAcentral